RNAcentral lists this long non-coding RNA (212 nucleotides) under Mytilus galloprovincialis (Mediterranean mussel). Lineage: Eukaryota; Metazoa; Mollusca; Bivalvia; Mytilida; Mytilidae. The record is from RNAcentral.
UGGGGCCUUGACCUGGUCACAAUUUUUUAAAGCAUAAACAAGGAAAAUAAUACAGUAAUAGACUUCAACAUGUUCAAGAAGGAUACUGGUAUUCUGUCUACGAUAGUAAUACACGUCUUUGCUGCCGACUAUAAAACUAAUGUUUAUGCAAAUAGGCUGAUAGAUCGAACUGGUGAUACAGGCUUUAUAUAGGCUUAUGCUAUUAACUUGGG